AGGCUCUCUGGAAUGGGAAUCUCAGCUUUGCUUCUCACUAGCUACAGGAUCAUGUCUUAGUUCGUGUUCUGCCACUAUAACAAAAUAGCUAGGGCUGGGUAUUUUACAUAUUGAAGAGGCUUAUUUAUCAUAUGGUUCUGGAAGUCCAAGAGCACAAUACCAAUUUUUCUCAGCUCUGGCUUCUCUUCACAGCCCCCUUGGCUGUACUGAAUCACAGUGGAGACAUUAUGGCAGGACUGCAUGCUAGAGGGACAGAUCACCCAGUGAGACAGGAAGUCAGACAAGUCCAGGGGCCAGCUUUGCUCUUUUAUCAACCUGCUCAUACAGGAACUAACCAUAAUUUUGUGAAAACCACCUUAAAUCCUUCUGAGGGCAUCGUUUCCAGUGUCCUAACCUUAUGCUACACCUCUUAUAGUUCCCACCACUUUUUAAUGCUGUCAUUACCAGGAACCACGCUUCCAGCACAUGAAACUUUGGAGACCCCCUCAAACUAUAUCCAAAUCACAGCAGGCUAUGGAGAGCAUACCAGGCAUGUGAUUUCCUAUGAACCUACAGUCAUUUGCAUUACAAGUGGUCAUGGUCCCUGUCUAUCGGAAGGUAGGUUUUGUAGAACCUGUCAUUUCCUGGGAAAUUGUUCUCCAUCUCAUUUCAUGUUGGGUGAGUCCUUUUCUCACAGAAUAGACUAGACUCGAUGCAACAGGAAACACUGAGAAUCAAUUCUUUGUUAUUAUAGACCCUAUUCCUGCGUCCCGGUAGGAGACCAUCAACCAGAAACUUUUUGCAAAUCCUCCGAAGGGGACAGAAGCAAUGAGAGCUGCUCUUGCUCCCUCGAUGCAGUAGUGUAGCAUUUACUCACUUCUGUAAUAACCCGAAAUGGUCUAGUGUUAGCAUUCUUCGAGCAGUUGGCAAUUAUAGUCAGAGAUUGUUGUUAAUUUUUUUUAAAGCAGCUUAUGGCAGUGACAAAAAAAUGAUUGCUUCUGAAAAUUCAUGGAGUGUCAGCUUCGUCCACCAUCAUGGAGAAUACUAUUAAACUGUGAGGCACUGAGAAAAUGAAGCAAGAAAUAUCAAGCAGCUGUACUGAGAGUGGAGUCCAAAGAUUCAGAGCUGAGGGAGAGCAUAUUGGCAUCCAAUAUAUCACAUCUUCACUGACCGACUCUCUCUUUCUCUGUUUCUUUUCUAUUUUUCAUUCUCAGAACACUCCAGGGCAAUGUGAGCCCCAGCUUCAGAACACAGUGCCAAAAGAGAACUCACCUAACCUGUGGUUGUCCUGCUUCAGGACAUGUCGAGGGUCACUGCAUUGCAGCUGGGACAGAACAAACUCAUCCUUGGCCACAGGUCCACAGGAAUAUCUUCUCUGGAAAGCUGUGACGGACAGGUUGAGAGAAUUGCUAUUGCCAGUGGAUCUCACUGAAUGGAUAAAAACUCUGGAGGCUGCAAUAAGAGGGUGGCAACACGUGAACUGGUACUCUUCCUAAUAAACGCUUCUGCUUCCAGCCGGCUGCACAGUCAUGAAGGGUAAACAAGCGGUGUUCCGAAGGGGACUGUCGAUCCUCUUUUGUUGCCAGUUCAGAGAGUCCCGGUGGCUGAGUAUCAGAGUGUUCCAUCUCAUUUGCCCUUGGUGUUGCUGUAGGUAAUCUGGAAGUCUGUUUUUGAGGUUUGUUUAUGUGUCUUCUCAUUUCCACGGGGGGGGGGGGGUGCCUCUGGCGCCCACGCGGCUCACCUUCUCUGCCCUAGGAGCUUGGGAUGGCAGUGGGGAAGCUUCCUUCUGGGUACUGGGACCGGCUCAGCUUCUCUGCCCUAGGAGCUUGGGAUGGUGGCGGG
This is a long non-coding RNA of Heterocephalus glaber (naked mole-rat), 1821 nucleotides long. The record is from Ensembl. Lineage: Eukaryota; Metazoa; Chordata; Mammalia; Rodentia; Bathyergidae.